RNAcentral lists this ribosomal RNA (690 nucleotides) under uncultured bacterium. RNAcentral's name for it is "bacterial SSU rRNA". It matches the Rfam family "Bacterial small subunit ribosomal RNA", at positions 59 to 732 of the family's 1533-position model. The record is from RNAcentral.
CAGUCGAGGGGCAGCGGGGCGGCAGGCUUGCCUGCCGUUGCCGGCGACCGGCGCACGGGUGAGUAACACGUAUGCAACCUGCCCGUGGCAGGGGGAUAAGCGGGGGAAACCCCGUCUAAUACCGCGUAACGCGGCCAUGGGGCAUCCCCGGGCCGCCAAAGGGAGCAAUCCCGGCCACGGAUGGGCAUGCGGCGCAUUAGCUAGUCGGCGGGGUAACGGCCCACCGAGGCGACGAUGCGUAGGGGUUCUGAGAGGAAGGCCCCCCACACUGGUACUGAGACACGGACCAGACUCCUACGGGAGGCAGCAGUGAGGAAUAUUGGUCAAUGGGCGCGAGCCUGAACCAGCCAAGUCGCGUGAGGGAUGACGGCCCUACGGGUUGUAAACCUCUUUUGCCGGGGAGCAACGGGCGCCACGAGUGGCGCCACUGAGAGUACCCGGAGAAAAAGCAUCGGCUAACUCCGUGCCAGCAGCCGCGGUAAUACGGAGGAUGCGAGCGUUAUCCGGAUUUAUUGGGUUUAAAGGGUGCGUAGGCGGAUCGUUAAGUCAGUGGUCAAAUUGAGGGGCUCAACCCCUUCCCGCCAUUGAAACUGGCGCUCUUGAGUGGAAGAGAAGUAUGCGGAAUGCGUGGUGUAGCGGUGAAAUGCAUAGAUAUCACGCAGAACCCCGAUUGCGAAGGCAGCAUGCCGG